RNAcentral lists this ribosomal RNA (455 nucleotides) under uncultured bacterium. Its description in RNAcentral is "bacterial SSU rRNA". It matches the Rfam family "Bacterial small subunit ribosomal RNA", at positions 28 to 507 of the family's 1533-position model. The record is from RNAcentral.
GAUGAACGCUGGCGGUAUGCCUAACACAUGCAAGUCGUACGAGAGUUUUUAACUCUAGUGGCGGACGGGUGAGUAACACGUGAGAAUUUGCCUUUAGGAGGGGGAUAACAAUUGGAAACGAAUGCUAAUACCCCAUAUGCUUUUGAGUGAAACGGAUUUAUCCGCCUAGAGAGAAGCUCGCGGCUGAUUAGCUUGUUGGUAAGGUAAGAGCUUACCAAGGCGACGAUCAGUAUCUGGUUUGAGAGGACGAUCAGACACACUGGAACUGAGACACGGUCCAGACUCCUACGGGAGGCAGCAGUGGGGAAUUUUGGACAAUGGGGGCAACCCUGAUCCAGCCAUGCCGCGUGCAGGAAGAAUGCCCUCUGGGUUGUAAACUGCUUUUGACAGGGAAGAAAUCACUUAUGCGUAAGUGUCUGACGGUACCUGUAGAAUAAGCACCGGCUAACUCCGUG